CAUGAACUGGAACUCCCCAUUCCUCGUCGUGAUAAGCAAUAUAGAUGGGAUCUAUUCAUCAAAAGCAACAUUGAGACUCAGCAACACAAUUUGCUUUUUGCUUUUUAAGGUAAAACACAUUCGUUCAACUAAGAUUAGAGUUUUUUCCCAGUAACUGUUGUUAAUAUUUGAAAUAACUUUCAAAAAUCCAAUUCUAAUCAAGAACGAUAUUAAAAAUACGCAAUUGAAAUAUUCACUGCGAAUUACCAGAAUUGGCUGUGAUAAAGCUGCAUCUCUUCUCCUCCUCAGUUGGCUUUGGUGUAAGACCAGUGGUUGAAGGAUCAAGAGGAAAAACUCUUUCAAACUUAGCAGACUUUGAUCUUCCAUAAUGGGCAAUCUUCAUUUUCCUCUGCGCCUGCUGCAGUGCCAUCUGU
RNAcentral lists this long non-coding RNA (413 nucleotides) under Vigna radiata. Its description in RNAcentral is "long non-coding RNA (VRAD_LNC004032)". Lineage: Eukaryota; Viridiplantae; Streptophyta; Magnoliopsida; Fabales; Fabaceae. The record is from RNAcentral.